Long non-coding RNA from Cyprinus carpio (common carp), 1030 nucleotides. RefSeq lists it as uncharacterized. The record is from RefSeq and is a predicted model, not a curated record. NCBI's taxonomy places the organism in Eukaryota, Metazoa, Chordata, Actinopteri, Cypriniformes, Cyprinidae. The transcript has 3 exons.
AUCAACAAUCCCAUCAGCAACCAGACCACACAUCUGGACAUCAUUCAACUCUGUCACACAUGUGCAGAUCAGAGCCUACCCAUGUUGUACAUAGUGCUGAUCUCUGCUGCUGCUGGAUCUCUGUUGAUUGUCACUGCUGUCAUGAUCUUCUGCAUCUACAGGAAAUGUAGAAAAACUGAUCAAGAAGGCAAGUGUUUCCUACUGCUUUUAAAGCUGUCAGUCACUAGGACAAUUAAGGAGACAGUAACUACACCAAGGAGAAACAGGGACAAAAUGAAGCAGAAAUAAUUAACAAACAUCCACAGAACAUAAUUAUAAUCGCUCAGCUGGUGUUCAAAUGAACAUCCCUAUGAAUGACAAUGUUUCAUGUGUGGGUCUCGCUUGUUGGGCUUCAAUGAAAAUUACAUGUGAAGAAUUUCUCAUUGCUUACUCUGCUAAGAACUUUGUGUGUGUAACAUUCCUAAUGUCAAGCUGAAUAAAUUAUUUACUGACAUUUUUUUUUUAAAUGCAGCAUUAAAUAUUUGUUAAAACGUGUGCAUUAAUGCUUAUAUUUGGGCCUUGAUGUUGUAAGGAAACAUCUAGUUAAGACUGAGUUGUUUUAAUUUAUCUGUAAUUUUUGUUUAAACAGUUCAGAGUUGUGAAGAAGAGAUCACUUACAUUGAUCCAACAUUCCACAAACGAAAACCCCAAUCGAAAGUUAAAGAGGAGGAUCAUGUGGUGUAUGCGCCUGUCACCAUGAGAUGAUGAUCAAAUGUCAGUCAAAAAGAGUACUUGUACUAAGUACCAGAUCCAGCUGUGUGAUCACUUUCACUUGGAAACUCCUACCCCAGACUUUGAAGUUUUGGGAUUGGUGAGAAUCACCAAAUGUAGUAUUUACUAUAAAUUUAGACACACGCCAUUAGGGUUAGUUCACCCAUAAUUCUUUCAUCAUUUAAGACUUGAUGUACAAGAGCAAUCCUCACCGUUUCUUGUGUAUCAAACAUUCAGGUUUGAGUUUCCAAAUUUGAUGAACUGUAUUUUGAUGUAUUUG